Long non-coding RNA from Neopsephotus bourkii (Bourke's parrot), 844 nucleotides. RefSeq lists it as uncharacterized. NCBI's taxonomy places the organism in Eukaryota, Metazoa, Chordata, Aves, Psittaciformes, Psittacidae. The record is from RefSeq and is a predicted model, not a curated record. The transcript has 3 exons.
UGGUAAUGACCAAGCAGCUGCUUCCACUAAUCUGCUGCAAGGGGAGUUAGGGGGUCUCUGCCAUGCUAUGCUGUGCCGUUAGCAUAAGCUAGGUAGUGACCACAUUCCUCAAGUGACUGUAAUUCCUGGUCUUGUGCUUUGCAGACUGUGUUCCAGGGCUAGGUCCUGUGUGCUCAGCACCUGGUACAAUGCUUGGAGAGCAAAUGGAAAUAGUGCAAAAUGAUGAGAGACCAUCCAAGGGUGUUGUGUUUGGACUUGAGCCAAUGACUUGUCUAUACAUGGAGUUACCCUAGAAUAAUUACUCAGGAAAAAGUAGCCUGGAUUAACUCCAUGGGAGCAGAGUAUUGUUCCAGAAGGAGUUAUUUGGAGUACCAACAUAUUUGAGUGCUCUGUCUCAAUUGCUCUUCUCUCACUUUCUCUGCAAUCUCUUGAGUAAGAAAAGAAGCUUCUCUCUUCAUGAUCUGGAUGUCAAUAGAAAAGAACAAGGAUAACGUCAUGCUGCUUGGCACUUGUGAGGUUUUAAAGGCUUGCAUCUUCUUCCCUAAACCAAAGCACUAAACCAAAAUUCUGUUAAAAAUAGCCCCAAACCUCCCUCUUGGGUGGAUGAAGUGCACUAAGGUAUGCUAGCAAAUACCCUUCUGGAGUUAUGGGUGCAAUAAGCAUGAGAUAAAAAGAUCUGGGCUCCAAACCCACAUCUUGUUUUCAAACCAUUAAAAGGUAGGGGUAAGGAAUUCUCAGAUGUGUUCAGAGAUAGGAAAUGCUGGAGGAGGCUCCUGUAGUCUUGAGACUUCUGCCCUCAUGUGCUGUCUUGAAAAGUCUGGAAAACAGAGAUACAUAUGCACUG